Molecule: ribosomal RNA, 1485 nt
Filed under: uncultured bacterium
Lineage: Bacteria
Description: bacterial SSU rRNA
Rfam family: Bacterial small subunit ribosomal RNA
Source: RNAcentral
AGAGUUUGAUCAUGGCUCAGGACGAACGCUGGCGGCGUGCUUAACACAUGCAAGUCGAACGGUGAUGAGGAGCUUGCUUCUCUGAUCAGUGGCGAACGGGUGAGUAACACGUGAGUAACCUGCCCUUGACUCUGGGAUAAGCACUGGAAACGGUGUCUAAUACCGGAUAUGAGCUUCAGCCGCAUGGCUAGGAGUUGGAAAGAAUUUCGGUCAAGGAUGGACUCGCGGCCUAUCAGCUUGUUGGUGAGGUAAUGGCUCACCAAGGCGACGACGGGUAGCCGGCCUGAGAGGGUGACCGGCCACACUGGGACUGAGACACGGCCCAGACUCCUACGGGAGGCAGCAGUGGGGAAUAUUGCACAAUGGGCGCAAGCCUGAUGCAGCAACGCCGCGUGAGGGACGACGGCCUUCGGGUUGUAAACCUCUUUUAGUAGGGAAGAAGCGAAAGUGACGGUACCUGCAGAAAAAGCACCGGCUAACUACGUGCCAGCAGCCGCGGUAAUACGUAGGGUGCAAGCGUUGUCCGGAAUUAUUGGGCGUAAAGAGCUCGUAGGCGGUUUGUCGCGUCUGCUGUGAAAACCCGAGGCUCAACCUCGGGCCUGCAGUGGGUACGGGCAGACUAGAGUGCGGUAGGGGAGAUUGGAAUUCCUGGUGUAGCGGUGGAAUGCGCAGAUAUCAGGAGGAACACCAAUGGCGAAGGCAGAUCUCUGGGCCGUAACUGACGCUGAGGAGCGAAAGCAUGGGGAGCGAACAGGAUUAGAUACCCUGGUAGUCCAUGCCGUAAACGUUGGGAACUAGAUGUGGGGACCAUUCCACGGUCUCCGUGUCGCAGCUAACGCAUUAAGUACCCCGCCUGGGGAGUACGGCCGCAAGGCUAAAACUCAAAGAAAUUGACGGGGGCCCGCACAAGCGGCGGAGCAUGUGGAUUAAUUCGAUGCAACGCGAAGAACCUUACCUGGGUUUGACAUGCACAGGACGUGCCUAGAGAUAGGUAUUCCCUUGUGGCCUGUGUGCAGGUGGUGCAUGGCUGUCGUCAGCUCGUGUCGUGAGAUGUUGGGUUAAGUCCCGCAACGAGCGCAACCCUUGUCUCAUGUUGCCAGCACGUCAUGGUGGGGACUCGUGAGAGACUGCCGGGGUCAACUCGGAGGAAGGUGGGGAUGACGUCAAGUCAUCAUGCCCCUUAUGUCCAGGGCUUCACGCAUGCUACAAUGGCCGGUACAAAGGGCUGCGAUGCCGUGAGGUGGAGCGAAUCCUUUCAAAGCCGGUCUCAGUUCGGAUCGGGGUCUGCAACUCGACCCCGUGAAGUCGGAGUCGCUAGUAAUCGCAGAUCAGCAACGCUGCGGUGAAUACGUUCCCGGGCCUUGUACACACCGCCCGUCACGUCAUGAAAGUCGGUAACACCCGAAGCCGGUGGCCUAACCCCUUGUGGGAGGGAGCCGUCGAAGGUGGGAUCGGCGAUUGGGACGAAGUCGUAACAAGGUAGCC